Molecule: microRNA precursor, 87 nt
Organism: Colobus angolensis palliatus
Lineage: Eukaryota; Metazoa; Chordata; Mammalia; Primates; Cercopithecidae
Source: Ensembl
CUCAUGCAGUGACACUCUAAAUGGAAGCACUGUCUGUGGUCUAAGAAAAGAUCGUGCAGCCUUUUAGAGUGUUACUGUUUGAGAAAA